CGCGGCCUAUCAGCUUGUUGGUGAGGUAGUGGCUCACCAAGGCGACGACGGGUAGCCGGCCUGAGAGGGCGACCGGCCACACUGGGACUGAGACACGGCCCAGACUCCUACGGGAGGCAGCAGUGGGGAAUAUUGCACAAUGGGCGAAAGCCUGAUGCAGCGACGCCGCGUGAGGGAUGACGGCCUUCGGGUUGUAAACCUCUUUCAGCAGGGAAGAAGCGAAAGUGACGGUACCUGCAGAAGAAGCGCCGGCUAACUACGUGCCAGCAGCCGCGGUAAUACGUAGGGCGCAAGCGUUGUCCGGAAUUAUUGGGCGUAAAGAGCUCGUAGGCGGCUUGUCACGUCGGUUGUGAAAGCCCGGGGCUUAACCCCGGGUCUGCAGUCGAUACGGGCAAGCUAGAGUUCGGUAGGGGAGAUCGGAAUUCCUGGUGUAGCGGUGAAAUGCGCAGAUAUCAGGAGGAACACCGGUGGCGAAGGCGGAUCUCUGGGCCGAUACUGACGCUGAGGAGCGAAAGCAUGGGGAGCGAACAGGAUUAGAUACCCUGGUAGUCCACGCCGUAAACGGUGGGCACUAGGUGUGGGCAACAUUCCACGUUGUCCGUGCCGCAGCUAACGCAUUAAGUGCCCCGCC
Molecule: ribosomal RNA, 631 nt
Filed under: uncultured Actinomycetes bacterium
Lineage: Bacteria; Bacillati; Actinomycetota; Actinomycetes
Description: bacterial SSU rRNA
Rfam family: Bacterial small subunit ribosomal RNA
Source: RNAcentral